This 422-nucleotide ribosomal RNA is filed under the name uncultured bacterium. Its description in RNAcentral is "bacterial SSU rRNA". It matches the Rfam family "Bacterial small subunit ribosomal RNA", at positions 355 to 776 of the family's 1533-position model. The record is from RNAcentral.
UAGGGAAUAUUGGUCAAUGGAGGGAACUCUGAACCAGCCAUGCCGCGUGGAGGAAGACGGCGUUCUGCGUUGUAAACUCCUUUUAUAUAGGAAGAAAAGCCAUUGCGAUGGUCUAUGACGGUACUAUAUGAAUAAGCACCGGCUAACUCCGUGCCAGCAGCCGCGGUAAUACGGAGGGUGCGAGCGUUGUCCGGAAUUAUUGGGUUUAAAGGGUGCGUAGGCGGUCUGAUCAGUCAGAGGUGAAAUCUCAAGGCUUAACCUUGAAACUGCCUUUGAUACUGUCAGACUUGAAUUCACUAGAGGUAAGCGGAAUUUAUGAUGUAGCGGUGAAAUGCAUAGAUAUCAUAAAGAACACCGAUAGCGUAGGCAGCUUACUGGAGUGUUAUUGACGCUGAGGCACGAAAGCGUGGGUAGCGAACGGG